GAAAUUUGGCCGCCUCUCACCCAUUUCUCUUCUCCUUCGUCCUCUUCUAAAACCUCACUGCUGUAUCUCUUUUCCUCCUUGUAUCUCACUCACAUACAGACACAAGUUAAAGCUGCUUAUCGAAGCAUUCUCCUGCGAUUGGAAUUUAUAUAUUCCGUAGGUAACGAGUUUACAACUCUGACAACUGUUGUAUACGCGCAUAGGUGUUGUUUUAUGUUAAUAUCUCUGGCCUUUUUUGUUUGGUUUGUCGGGGAAAAGGAGAAAAGGAAGUGAAAUGAAAAGGUUUGAAUCUGUUUUAAGUUUGUUUAGUUUGCUUUUGAUAGAAAUGAGGAACGGCAAUUUGAGCUUGGCUUGUUACCGUUGUUGGCUUAGUGGAAUUUGUUUGUCAUUUCUUUGUUCAAGUUUUUGCGUUUUGUAUUGGAUUGAAAUGAUUGAAAAUUUGAGUUUGUAAUUUGUCGAUACACGUCAUUUAUCCUUGUGAGGUAAAACAUGGAGGCUUUUGAUAUCUUUGUGUUUCAAUUUGGACAACCGUUGACAUGUUCUGAAAAUGAGCAGGCUUGUCUUCCAUUUUCACGUUAUAUAAAACGGCAAGUGCGUACCAUUUGUUUUAACUAAGUCCACAUUGCCGGUUUUUGCAAAUUUGCCAAUUGUUUGAGUUCUUGUCCAAUAGUUUUCCAUUUUGAAAAUAGCGUUUUCAGGUAGUUCUGGUUCAAUUUU
This 717-nucleotide long non-coding RNA is filed under the name Carica papaya (papaya). RNAcentral's name for it is "long non-coding RNA (CPAP_LNC002279)". Lineage: Eukaryota; Viridiplantae; Streptophyta; Magnoliopsida; Brassicales; Caricaceae. The record is from RNAcentral.